CCUACGGGAGGCAGCAGUGGGGAAUCUUGCGCAAUGGGCGAAAGCCUGACGCAGCAACGCCGCGUGCGGGAAGAAGGCCUUAGGGUUGUAAACCGCUUUCAGUAGGAACGAAAAUGACGGUACCUGCAGAAGAAGGUGCGGCCAACUACGUGCCAGCAGCCGCGGUGACACGUAGGCACCAAGCGUUGUCCGGAUUUAUUGGGCGUAAAGAGCUCGUAGGCGGUUCAGUAAGUCGGGUGUGAAAACUCUGGGCUUAACCCAGAGCCGCCACUCGAUACUGCUGUGACUUGAGUUCGGUAGGGGAGCAGGGAAUUCCUAGUGUAGCGGUGAAAUGCGCAGAUAUUAGGAGGAACACCGGUGGCGAAGGCGCUGCUCUGGGCCGAUACUGACGCUGAGGAGCGAAAGCGUGGGUAGCAAACAGGAUUAGAUACCCUGGUAGUCCACGCCGUAAACGUUGGGCACUAGGUGUGGGUUCCAACCAACGGAAUCCGCGCCGUCGCUAACGCAUUAAGUGCCCCGCCUGGGGAGUACGGCGGCAACGCUAAACUCAAAUGAAUUGACGG
RNAcentral lists this ribosomal RNA (563 nucleotides) under uncultured bacterium. RNAcentral describes it as "bacterial SSU rRNA". It matches the Rfam family "Bacterial small subunit ribosomal RNA", at positions 338 to 916 of the family's 1533-position model. The record is from RNAcentral.